AUUGAACGCUGGCGGCAUGCUUUACACAUGCAAGUCGAACGGCAGCGCGGGCUUCGGCCUGGCGGCGAGUGGCGAACGGGUGAGUAAUACAUCGGAACGUGCCCAGUAGUGGGGGAUAGCUCGGCGAAAGCCGGAUUAAUACCGCAUACGACCUGAGGGUGAAAGCGGGGGAUCUUCGGACCUCGCGCUAUUGGAGCGGCCGAUGGCAGAUUAGCUAGUUGGUGGGGUAAAGGCCUACCAAGGCGACGAUCUGUAGCUGGUCUGAGAGGACGAGCAGCCACACUGGGACUGAGACACGGCCCAGACUCCUACGGGAGGCAGCAGUGGGGAAUUUUGGACAAUGGGCGAAAGCCUGAUCCAGCAAUGCCGCGUGUGUGAUGAAGGCCUUCGGGUUGUAAAGCACUUUUGGCGGGAACGAAAAGGACUGUGCCAAUACCACGGUUCGAUGACGGUACCCGCAGAAUAAUCACCGGCUAACUACGUG
This 484-nucleotide ribosomal RNA is filed under the name uncultured bacterium. RNAcentral describes it as "partial 16S ribosomal RNA". It matches the Rfam family "Bacterial small subunit ribosomal RNA", at positions 29 to 507 of the family's 1533-position model. The record is from RNAcentral.